This is a non-coding RNA of Taeniopygia guttata (zebra finch), 125 nucleotides long. NCBI's taxonomy places the organism in Eukaryota, Metazoa, Chordata, Aves, Passeriformes, Estrildidae. The record is from RefSeq and is a predicted model, not a curated record.
CUUCAGGAGGCACCAAACCAGAAGGGACAGCAGAGGACACGAGAUACUUCAGGAGGCACCAAACCAGCAGAGGACACGAGAUACUUCAGGAGGCACCAAACCAGCAGAGGACAAGCUACUUCAGG